GACGCGUAUGACGUCACAGCUCUCAAGCGGAGUCGAAAAUGGCGGAGCGUCGACUGUCGUGCUGACCCGAUUUUCACACAGCAGUCAAAAUGGAUGGAGAACUUCUGUCUCUGAAGUGGAACAACCACAGGACCACCUUCUAUCAUGUCAUCAGUGGUCUCCGCAAUAAGGAGACGUACACUGAUGUGACUUUGGCAUGUGAGGGCAAGUUCUACCCCGUCCAUAAACUGGUUCUGUCUACGUGUAGUGAAUACUUUAGUGAUAUUUUUGAACGUACUCCCUGUAAAAACCCUGUGGUGGUUUUAAAAGACAUACAGUGCCGUGAUAUAGAGUUCUUACUAGACUAUAUGUACAUUGGUGAAGUGAAUGUGAGACAGAAUGAACUCUCAUCCCUUAUAAAAGCGGCCGAAUGCCUAAGAAUCAAAGGGUUGGCGGUGCCAGACGAGGAGCCAAAGAAGGCCUCCAGUAAUAGUGUUAGUACAAGUGGAGUGCAACAGAGUGCGAGGCAACGGCCUGAACAGCCCAGUCCGCCAGCCAAGAGACGGAAGGCGGAUGACCGGCGGGCCACUUCUUUAGGAACAGAACACAGCCCAGGCAGACCCCCUGGAGACCCCACCCCCGCCAGCCCAGAUCGCCAGAGCCAUCCCCAGCACCAGCACUCGAGCACUGCGGACUUGGGCAGUGCGAGAGAACAGCCGGAACAGCAGCAGGGCGGCGACGUGAGCACGGACAUCCCAACGGUACAAAUAAAGGUCGAGCAAGACAACUUCGAAACCACAGGCCAAGAUGACUACACCUCGGUUCAAAGUAAUAGCUAUGACGACGGGGGAGGGGACGACGGGGAAGGCCCCCAGGGGUCCGAAGGUAACACCAAUGAGUUCCCAGAGUUCCUCCAGUCGACUGUGGAAAAGGAAGAACCUGUGGCCAUGAGUGACUUUAAUCCUAGUGAUUUCCCUGGGCCUUCGGGUCUACAAAAUAGUGGUUUAGCAACAUGGGAAAGUGAAAAUAGUUCAACAAACUUUGCGGAAGGUCUAUCUGGGGCUGUUGCAGCUGCUGUUGCUGCAGCAUCCCAGCCUCAGCGACAGCAACAACAGUUGUGGGUGUGGCCAUCUUCACAAAGUGACGGGGUAGCGGGUGAUGAGAGAGCUCUACAAGGUGAUGCUAUGGCAUGUGAGAGCCCAGCUGCAGUGGGUGGUGGUACCAUUGGCCCUGGUGGAGGGAAGGUUGUUAGUGCCCGGGGGGCUCCUAGCACUCACCUUCUGUGUCACUUGUGUGGGUAUGUUGCCCAGCGAAGGCAGCACCUGGAAACCCACGUCCGCACGCAUACUGGAGAGAGACCCCACCAAUGUCCCCAUUGUAAAUACAAGUGUAGUGAUCUGAGCAAUCUGAAGAAGCACAUCCGAAUCCAUACUGGGGAGAAGAAGCCCUUUGCAUGCCCACACUGCCCUUUUCGUUCUGGAGAGAACAGCAGUCUCAAGAAACACACAAGGAUAUACCAUACUCCUGAUAAUUCAGUGCAGCCCCAGGAUGCCUUUGCCAUGGCCACCCAACCCACUUACCCUUGGCAAGAUUCGGCCAUGUAAUUAGAUUACUCUAGCCCACAUUCAGAUUGAAGGCAAGGUCAGGGUAUUUUUCCUGGUUGGUGCUCAGUUCUCCAUGGGUAUCUGGCAGUGGGCGACGAGACCCAGAAGUACAUUCAGGCAUACAAGAGGGUCAAAUGGGCAUGCAGCCUGCUCACUUGGGCCCUCGCAGUUUGCAGGUGGCUAUACAGACGACAUAC
Molecule: unclassified non-coding RNA, 1780 nt
Filed under: Penaeus chinensis
Lineage: Eukaryota; Metazoa; Arthropoda; Malacostraca; Decapoda; Penaeidae
Description: longitudinals lacking protein, isoforms A/B/D/L-like, transcript variant X10
Source: RNAcentral